Molecule: long non-coding RNA, 1531 nt
Organism: Amphimedon queenslandica
Lineage: Eukaryota; Metazoa; Porifera; Demospongiae; Haplosclerida; Niphatidae
Exons: 4
Source: RefSeq, a predicted model, not a curated record
ACUAAUAGUAGUAUAGUACAGGUAAAUUACCUGUGCUAUACUACUAUUAGAUUGCAUGUGCAUCAUAAUUGAGCUACAUGGCUGCAUGUAUAAGUAGGACUGGAGCUACGUAUUUUUUGUUAGCAGGGAUAAAAAGUUACUAAAUGCUUCAUUAUUGUUAAUUUAUUUUUUGUAACAAAAUAAUACGAGCCACACCCUUAACUUUGUGACCAUAAUGUGUUAUGCCAUAGAUAAUUAUACACAAAACAUCAUUGUGCAUAAUGCUGAUAAUGUAGUAGGCAUCAUAGUGAGAAAAAAUGUAUAUGCAGCUAUGUACAAUGUGACAUUAAUCAAAGCUGUUGUACUCAUACAAUAAUAGAGAGUUUUGACAGUACAUUCUUAUGAUUCCUCCCACUUUUAUAGUUGUUUAUUGUUUUUUCAUAGUGAUAGAGGUAGAGCUAAUAUUUAUUAUACAAGAUGAUUGAUGUUUCUCAAUGGAGAGCAAGCAUUGGACUGUGGAACUGCUGUCAAGCUGCCUCCAGGAGACCAGCUAUUGGCUGCUACCAUUCUCACUCAUUGAAAGCUACAAUGAACAGCAAGCCAAGCAGUACUAUAAAAUUUGGAGGAACAGCAUCUAAACUUCCAGCACCUAACCUCCUCUUUCUUAUUCUCUUUCUCUCUGUUUCUUUAUCAAUACACAUCUUAAUGAUUCCUUUAACAUGUAAGCAAUUAACAAUUGCAAAUUUGUAGACUAGAUCUACUUGCCUAUUUUGGUAUUUUAUUACAGGUAACUUUAACUACCAUCAAGUACAGUGUAAUACUGAUGUGAACUACCUCCAGUCAGUAGCCUUAUCUAAAGGUCUGAGCUGCAAUGAUCUCUAUUUGACUGUUUGCCUCCGUAAGCUGCUCCUCUUAUCGGGAGAUGUUGAACUCAAUCCCGGUCCUCUAACAGGUAAUCCAAAGGAUGUAUUAAGAAGUCAUUCCAGUAAACUCAUUAGUGUCAUUUGUAGUAAUUUAUUAAACAUAACAAAUGAGCUUCAUGCUGCAAGAUUAAUACCCAAACUAUUUAGACAAGAGAUGCUUGUACCAGCAGUUGACAGUUAUACUAAAGCUACUAAACUUGUGAAUGUCAUUGAACAACAGUUAGAAUCUUCUCUUAAUCCAGUCCAGUAUCUCACUGAUAUAUAAUGUCGUGUAUUAUUGAACCAACAAGAUUGUACACUAACAGAUAUUACUACCUCUAUAUUGCAUCAGUUAGGUCAGUCAGUAUCUGAUGUACUACCACCACUUGAUCCUAUUAAUGAUACCCCAAUAAAAGGUCAAUCUAAUGUUAGUUCAAUACCUGAUGAUGUUCAAGUGUAUGCUGAUGAUAUGAGACAAUACUACAAACAUCAACCUAUUGUUGCUACAGACUGGCCUCCAAGAAUUGGAAAGGACUUUUUUGGGAGAUUAGCAUUAGUUGAAAAACAAGACCACAGUACACAAGCAGAAUCAGCUUGGCAUUUGCUAAGAGGACAAGUUGAUAAAAUUGUGAAACUAGCUAAAAACAAAG